CCUACGGGCGGCAGCAGUGAGGAAUAUUGGUCAAUGGGCGAGAGCCUGAACCAGCCAAGUCGCGUGAGGGAAGACGGUCCUAUGGAUUGUAAACCUCUUUUGCCGGGGAGCAAAAAGCGGUACGUGUACCGCAUCGAGAGUACCCGGAGAAAAAGCCUCGGCUAACUCCGUGCCAGCAGCCGCGGUAAUACGGAGGAUGCGAGCGUUAUCCGGAUUUAUUGGGUUUAAAGGGUGCGCAGGCGGCGAGUUAAGUCAGCGGUGAAAGUUUGUGGCUCAACCAUAAAAUUGCCGUUGAAACUGGAAGACUUGAGUGUGUUUAAGGUAGGCGGAAUGCGUGGUGUAGCGGUGAAAUGCAUAGAUAUCACGCAGAACUCCGAUUGCGAAGGCAGCUUACUAAGCCAUAACUGACACUGAAGCACGAAAGCGUGGGGAUCAAACAGGAUUAGAUACCCCUGUAGUC
RNAcentral lists this ribosomal RNA (460 nucleotides) under uncultured bacterium. Its description in RNAcentral is "partial 16S ribosomal RNA". It matches the Rfam family "Bacterial small subunit ribosomal RNA", at positions 338 to 795 of the family's 1533-position model. The record is from RNAcentral.